CUGAUGAUCAUGGAUGUCUUCUAAAGAUCCCUUGAAGCCGCACUAGCGUCCAACCUCUAUGGAUAUCCAUACAAGACUUUGAUCUGAUCAGAAGCUUAUUGAUCUCAUCGGAGUAUUAGCUCUCCUGCAGAGAUCGCAUCUUGACAGUUGAAAAUCUUCUUUUCUCUCAAGACACUCUUAGAGAAGAAGAAGAUAGGAGAUGUUGAUCUCUAUGCUCGAGAUCAUAAGAAGAAUCUUUCUUCUCUUUUCUUUCUAAAAUCUAUACAUCAAAUCUAUAUACUAGAGAUGUAAGAAUUUUGUCCAACUUUUGGACAAAGAGAGGAGAAAAAAAACUCAUGUUCAAAUAUAGAUAAAAAGAGAGAGAAGAGGCCCCAACAACCAACCCUUAGUUGUUGGUAAGAAAGAAGGGAUAUCACCUCACCUACCUUACGCCCAAGACAUUCACGCUGCACCC
This 454-nucleotide long non-coding RNA is filed under the name Elaeis guineensis (African oil palm). RNAcentral describes it as "long non-coding RNA (EGUI_LNC055319)". The record is from RNAcentral. Lineage: Eukaryota; Viridiplantae; Streptophyta; Magnoliopsida; Arecales; Arecaceae.